RNAcentral lists this small nuclear RNA (160 nucleotides) under Penaeus chinensis. RNAcentral's name for it is "U1 spliceosomal RNA". It matches the Rfam family "U1 spliceosomal RNA". Rfam says of the family: U1 is a small nuclear RNA (snRNA) component of the spliceosome (involved in pre-mRNA splicing). Its 5' end forms complementary base pairs with the 5' splice junction, thus defining the 5' donor site of an intron. There are significant differences in sequence and secondary structure between metazoan and yeast U1 snRNAs, the latter being much longer (568 nucleotides as compared to 164 nucleotides in human). Lineage: Eukaryota; Metazoa; Arthropoda; Malacostraca; Decapoda; Penaeidae. The record is from RNAcentral.
AUACUUACCUGGCACAGGAGAUACGUGAUCACGAAGGCGGUUUUCCAGGGGUCGAGGCUCACAAAUGCAUCGGUGGGCUGACCCCUGCGAUUAACCAAAUGGUGGUUAACUCGUGUGUGCAAUUUUUUGGUAGCGGGGACUGCGUUCGCGCUAUCCCCUC